ACAAUGAAGAGUUUGAUCCUGGCUCAGGAUGAACGCUAGCUACAGGCUUAACACAUGCAAGUCGAGGGGCAUCAGGAAGAAAGCUUGCUUUCUUUGCUGGCGACCGGCGCACGGGUGAGUAACACGUAUCCAACCUGCCCUUUACUCGGGGAUAGCCUUUCGAAAGAAAGAUUAAUACCCGAUGGCAUAAUGAUUCCGCAUGGUUUCAUUAUUAAAGGAUUCCGGUAAAGGAUGGGGAUGCGUUCCAUUAGGUUGUUGGUGGGGUAACGGCCCACCAAGCCUUCGAUGGAUAGGGGUUCUGAGAGGAAGGUCCCCCACAUUGGAACUGAGACACGGUCCAAACUCCUACGGGAGGCAGCAGUGAGGAAUAUUGGUCAAUGGGCGCUAGCCUGAACCAGCCAAGUAGCGUGAAGGAUGAAGGCUCUAUGGGUCGUAAACUUCUUUUAUAUAAGAAUAAAGUGCAGUAUGUAUACUGUUUUGUAUGUAUUAUAUGAAUAAGGAUCGGCUAACUCCGUGCCAGCAGCCGCGGUAAUACGGAGGAUCCGAGCGUUAUCCGGAUUUAUUGGGUUUAAAGGGAGCGUAGGUGGACUGGUAAGUCAGUUGUGAAAGUUUGCGGCUCAACCGUAAAAUUGCAGUUGAUACUGUCAGUCUUGAGUACAGUAGAGGUGGGCGGAAUUCGUGGUGUAGCGGUGAAAUGCUUAGAUAUCACGAAGAACUCCGAUUGCGAAGGCAGCUCACUGGACUGCAACUGACACUGAUGCUCGAAAGUGUGGGUAUCAAACAGGAUUAGAUACCCUGGUAGUCCACACAGUAAACGAUGAAUACUCGCUGUUUGCGAUAUACAGUAAGCGGCCAAGCGAAAGCAUUAAGUAUUCCACCUGGGGAGUACGCCGGCAACGGUGAAACUCAAAGGAAUUGACGGGGGCCCGCACAAGCGGAGGAACAUGUGGUUUAAUUCGAUGAUACGCGAGGAACCUUACCCGGGCUUAAAUUGCAGUGGAAUGAUGUGGAAACAUGUCAGUGAGCAAUCACCGCUGUGAAGGUGCUGCAUGGUUGUCGUCAGCUCGUGCCGUGAGGUGUCGGCUUAAGUGCCAUAACGAGCGCAACCCUUAUCUUUAGUUACUAACAGGUUAUGCUGAGGACCCUAGAGAGACUGCCGUCGUAAGAUGUGAGGAAGGUGGGGAUGACGUCAAAUCAGCACGGCCCUUACGUCCGGGGCUACACACGUGUUACAAUGGGGGGUACAGAAGGCAGCUAGCGGGUGACCGUAUGCUAAUCCCAAAAGCCUCUCUCAGUUCGGAUCGAAGUCUGCAACCCGACUUCGUGAAGCUGGAUUCGCUAGUAAUCGCGCAUCAGCCACGGCGCGGUGAAUACGUUCCCGGGCCUUGUACACACCGCCCGUCAAGCCAUGGGAGCCGGGGGUACCUGAAGUACGUAACCGCAAGGAUCGUCCUAGGGUAAAACUGGUGACUGGGGCUAAGUCGUAACAAGGUAGCCGUACCGGAAGGUGCGGCUGGAACACCUCCUUU
RNAcentral lists this ribosomal RNA (1529 nucleotides) under Bacteroides fragilis. Its description in RNAcentral is "bacterial SSU rRNA". It matches the Rfam family "Bacterial small subunit ribosomal RNA". The record is from RNAcentral. Lineage: Bacteria; Pseudomonadati; Bacteroidota; Bacteroidia; Bacteroidales; Bacteroidaceae.